CUGCUUCACAGGUAAAGCUGUAUCCGGCAGGUAACAAGCUGGACUUUACACGGUAAUUUUGGCUGCCUUGUGAUACGAAUUUGACUUCUUCCAAAACAUGAAAGUUGUAGAAACGUGCCUUAUAUUUCCAACCCAACUUGAAUCACCUCGAUCCAAUGUCUGCAUCUCAAGUUAUGAUUAUUUUACCGACAGCUGCUUCUUGCUUGAGGCAGUCACUAUUUUUGACUUUUCAACAUUAUUUUCCUCCGCUUGCUCCACUUGUUCUAAAUUAGAAAUAAAUGUGAAAUACAUCAAAUAGAUACUCUUUCAAAUGUAUAAUACUCAUGCCGACAUGUAUGUAAAUACGUAUUUC
Molecule: long non-coding RNA, 352 nt
Filed under: Olea europaea (common olive)
Lineage: Eukaryota; Viridiplantae; Streptophyta; Magnoliopsida; Lamiales; Oleaceae
Description: long non-coding RNA (OEUR_LNC015347)
Source: RNAcentral